AUUCCUCCUGCGCGGGAGCUUUGGGGACGCACUUGUGGAUUCCUAGGCCUCUUCCGUUUGCCUCUGGGACUGGCGAUACUCGAGAGAUGUCUUGAGGCCUUCCAGACCUUGCUCCACCUCCACCACCAGGUCUCCAGUCCUGAGCCACAUGCUGCCAUUUUUGUCUCAGAAGCACCCCUCUUCCAGGUGGAAGACUGAAGGUCUGAAGAGUGGGAAGACCCAGGAGCAGGCAAGGCCAGGAAGAUAGGAGGCAAAUCAAGAAAGAGAAGGAAACUGAAGCUAGUGGGAAGUGCUUCAAGUUGGAGAUGAUGCUGAGAUGGCCAAAAAGUGAGAGGUGGAAAACAUUUGGAGUGAGUUAAGGAGAGAACGCGAGGCAAGGAAGUGAAGCCGAGUUUGGACCAGAAGGAAGACCAAGGUGUGGAUAGCCAUGCAGUUGUGUCUGCUUGUCUCAUCGUCUCACUUUCAUGGGAAGCUCUUUAAUCUUGGAGUUCAGCACUCUCCGGUCAUGUGGUGAAAGUGGGUUGGAGCAAAGAUGAAUUAGAGGAGUGCUGCUUCUAUUGAGGAUAGGAGGCAUGAGUUUAAGGGGCAAGUUCCAUUCUUCCCUGAAGCAGCAACCUACACCAAGGUAGAGAUGACCACCUGUCUCUGGUUCUUCUUGGCCCCACUGUUUGGACUCUUGGCUUCUUAAGAAGAUGAUUUCUCCCAGAUGAAAUUCUUGUCGGCAUUUAGUUGUAUUAAAAGUCAUUUUUGGUGCUAGUGGAUGAAGCCUUUUCCUUUAAAAAUAAUAGCCAGGUUAG
Molecule: long non-coding RNA, 797 nt
Organism: Gorilla gorilla gorilla (western lowland gorilla)
Lineage: Eukaryota; Metazoa; Chordata; Mammalia; Primates; Hominidae
Exons: 4
Source: RefSeq, a predicted model, not a curated record